GACCAUCAUUUUAUCCCUGUUUGGGAAUUUCCAUUACUGCUGGGGAAAGGGACUUCUCCUCCUGAGUGAAGAUUCUGGGACGUGACUUGAAGCAAGGCAAGAGAAGCAAAACCUUUGUGUGAACAUCACAGAACAGAAGAAAAAAGUGAUGUACAAAGCAAGAGAAAGAAAUCAGGCUGGUUUCAAACCCUUUGUAGUGCUGGGCUGAGGUGAGCUGGGGUCACAUCCCUGUGAGGGGAGCACAGUGGGGCAGGGAUGAGGCUGGAAAGGACUGGGAUGCACAUGGUGCCAAUUUGGGGAGCUUUCAGACUUGUGUCUCUAAAUGGAAAUACUGAGAAGACAAAUUAAUUAUCUGAGAAAAGGAAGUGGUGUUGGUGGAGGGAGGGAAGGCUCAGCUCAGAGGAGCUGUGGAGUUUCCUUGGGGCUCCUUGAGCUGUGCAGGGGCAGCCUGUGGCUCCAGUUUGGGGCUCCCACGGUUAAACCAUCAGUUAACAAAUGCAUUUCCUCCAUAGGGGAGACUGCUUCUUCAUCCCACUGCUUUUCCAGACUGCACACUGUGUGUUCCUGCAGGAAUUCUCCUGCCCAGAUUUUUGUCACCUUGUGCAGAUUCUGCUGAGACUCUGGCAGCAGCAGGAUAUUGAAGGAUUUGAGCUGAGGUGUUUGAGCAGUCACAGCCCCCUGCUCUGACCCCUCAUUUCCAGCGCAGACACGGCUCCCUCAGCCCCACAUUUCCUCCAGGAAUCCCUGGCUGUGUGGCCCCUUUUCAGCAGAGAUUCCUGCAGCCCCAGCGUUUGAAGUGGCCGAAUCCCUGCAGGCCGGGGCCAGCAGCUCCGUCUGGCCAGGGCCCAUCGUCCCCUCGGCGCUGAUGUGGUGAG
This 875-nucleotide long non-coding RNA is filed under the name Zonotrichia albicollis (white-throated sparrow). Its description in RNAcentral is "lncRNA (ENSZALG00000014104.1)". Lineage: Eukaryota; Metazoa; Chordata; Aves; Passeriformes; Passerellidae. The record is from RNAcentral.